Molecule: ribosomal RNA, 433 nt
Filed under: uncultured bacterium
Lineage: Bacteria
Description: partial 16S ribosomal RNA
Rfam family: Bacterial small subunit ribosomal RNA
Source: RNAcentral
AACGAACGCUGGCGGCAUGCCUAACACAUGCCAGUCGAACGAGACCUUCGGGUCUAGUGGCGCACGGGUGCGUAACGCGUGGGAACCUGCCCUUAGGUUCGGAAUAACUCCCCGAAAGGGGUGCUAAUACCGGAUAAUGUCUUCGGACCAAAGAUUUAUCGCCUUUGGAUGGGCCCGCGUUGGAUUAGCUAGUUGGUAGGGUAAAAGCCUACCAAGGCGACGAUCCAUAGCUGGUCUGAGAGGAUGAUAAGCCACACUGGGACUGAGACACGGCCCAGACUCCUACGGGAGGCAGCAGUGGGGAAUAUUGGACAAUGGGCGAAAGCCUGAUCCAGCAAUGCCGCGUGAGUGAUGAAGGCCUUAGGGUUGUAAAGCUCUUUUACCCGGGAUGAUAAUGACAGUACCGGGAGAAUAAGCUCCGGCUAACUCCGUG